RNAcentral lists this long non-coding RNA (1483 nucleotides) under Androctonus crassicauda. Lineage: Eukaryota; Metazoa; Arthropoda; Arachnida; Scorpiones; Buthidae. The record is from RNAcentral.
GAAACUUUUACAAUUUGUUGUUUUCUUUGUAAUAAAGAGCCAAAGAAAGUUAAGAACUUAAUACAUAUGUACCUGAAAUUUAUAUUUGGGAAUGCGUGGGUACCUAAACUUGUGUAAUUUUUAACUUAUGCUAUGUUUCCUGGUCUCACCUAUUACAUAUAUGAGAACCACCAUAAAUGUGAUUUAUAAUCUCCACAAAAUGAAAUAAAUUAAUACAGUGAACAAAGAAGCUAAAAAGAGUAGAGGUGAAUUAUGAGAAUCGAGAGGGAAAAUAAACAUCAUUGAGUGCCACAGCCUUGCAUGUAAGUUUGUUCCCAGUAUCAUAAAUCGCAAAAGAAAAGCAAGGAUUGUGUUGGGAGCGAUGGGACCAUGUUUGUGCAGGUGUCCCAAGGAAGAAAUAACCACGAUAAACAAGAUCUGAAACACAUUGAACCUUAGGGAAUUUUAGGUGAAAGGUCACUUGUUUGGUCCUGAACUUUGCAACAUACAAUACAGAGAGUUAACCACCAGCCUCCAUUCGGGAUGGACACAGAGAGUCAAUCGCUAGCCUUCAGAAGAGACAGUCAAUUAGUUGAUCAUCAGCAUCCAUCUGAGAGAGACAGAGAAUUGAUUGCCAGUGUAAUCACAAAGAUGAUUGCGUUCAUUUCCCUCCAAUAUCCUUCACCUCGUGGCUUUCAAAAAGUAAGGAUAAACCUGAAGAUAUGGUCCAAACUUUGCAUCACAGCUGCAGAGAGAGAGAAAAGAAGUGGGAAAAGGAAAGCAUAAUUGAUCUUCCUUUCUGAUGGAUUUAUAUCUGUUUAUCUGUGUCCUCAGAAACAAAGAGGAAACCACAACUCAAUCUUCCAUCUAAAAGAAGGAUAGCUCCUACACAAAAGAAAUCAAGUUCCUGAUGGGAAUGUGCACUAUUCUUCAGCAACCUGAGAAGCCUCCCAAAAACCAUGGACUGACCAUCACCACACAUAUAAAAGACUCACACAAGCAGAUAAGACUGAGAGAACUUUGAACUGUAGACAAUCAGUGUUGUGAAUAGAACUAGUAAGAAGUCAAGAUCUACAGAAUAUUUUCUGUUCAGUUAAGGUAUUUAUCCUCCUGAUAAGGGUUGAAAUGCAAUUAUCUUUCUCAUUAAUAAAGAUCCAAGAUGUUCAUAAUAAAAGUUGCUUGACAUUGUGUACCCAAGUCCCUCUCUAUCCUUACUCACACUACAACCCACAUAUUAUCAUCUGUUAGGCAGAAUUGCUAGUGUGUCAGUAUCAUCUCAUGCUGAUACUGAAUGGUAACCGGAUUGUAACCAAGAAGAUCAAGGUCUAUGUAAUUAUAUUGCCUGCUGGCAUCUCACACAUAAUUCCAGAGUAUUACUGUAUUUUAAUAUGCUGAUAAUACGUACAAAAAAGUCUACAAAUUAUAUAUUAUUUUCUUGUUAUAUUUCUGUCAAAAUAUAUUUUUAGCUACUUUUUAAAAGUAAAUGUGAAAUUUAUGAGAUAUC